AUGCAUCCAAUCCGCGCGCUCUUCUUCUCUCACGUUCGAUCGAGGGAUCCACCCAACAUGCAUGACAUGGCGGGCGAUCUCCUGAUAACUAGGGCAAACCUGCCUCUCCUCCUCCUGGUGAUCCUCUCCUCCACCGCCGUCCACGGCGUGCCGUUGCCGGACCCAUGCGCCGGCCGCCGCAUCCACGUCCGGCGCCUCCCGGCGCGCUUCAACACGGACCUCCUCCGCCACUGCGACGGCGCCUUCCCGCUGGCCGACCACCCCUUAGCCACGCCCUCCUGCGCCUCGCUCGCCAACCACGGCCUCGGCCCGCGCACCCACAACCGCUCCCGCUCCUGGUACCGCACCGACGUGCGCCUCCUCGAGCCCUUCUUCCACCGCCGCCUCCUCGACCGGGACUGCCUCGCCGACGACCCCGCCCGCGCCGACGCCGUCUUCCUCCCCUACUACGCCUCCCUCGACGCGCUCCCCUUCCUCCUCGACCCCGCCAUGCUCAACUUCUCCGGCGCGCACGGCGCCGCCCUCGCCCAGUUCCUCGCGACCGACCGCCCGCGGGUCCUCGCCCGGCGCCACGGCCACGACCACUUCCUCGUGCUCGCCGGCCCGGCCUGGGACUACGCGCAGCCGGCCGACACCGAUCCCAGGCUCUGGGGCACCACCUCGCUGCUCCGCCGCCCCGAGUUCGACAACUUCACCUUCCUCACGCUCGAGUCCCGCGCGUGGCCGUGGCAGGAGCACGCCGUGCCGCACCCGACGUCCUUCCACCCAUCGUCCCUCCCACGGCUCCGCGCAUGGAUCGCCCGCGCGCGCCGCUCGCGCCGCACGGCGCUGAUGCUCUACGCCGGCACCGUGACCAGGCCGUCCCGCCCCAACAUCCGGAGCUUCAUCCUCGCCGAGUGCGCGAACCGCACCGACACAUGCACCGUCGUCGACUGCCAUGGCGGGUCCUGCGCGCUCGACCCGGUGCGCUCCAUGCGGCCCAUGCUGAAGGCCAAGUUCUGCCUGGAGCCGCCGGGGGACACGCCGACGCGGCGUUCGACGUUCGACGCGGUGGUGGCCGGGUGCGUGCCGGUGUUCUUCGAGGACGCGUCGGCGAGAACGCAGUACGGGUGGCACCUGCCGCCGGAGAGGUACGAGGAGUUCUCGGUGACCAUACCCAAGGACGCGGUGAUGCUGGGGGGCGUGCAGAUCAUGGAGACCCUGGCGGCGGUGCCGGAGGAGGAGGUGGCCAGGAUGCGGGAGCGGCUUCUGGAGCUGGCGCCGAGAGUGGUCUACCGGCGGCACGGUAGCGCGGCAGAGAGGAUGAGGGAGGCGAGCAUGGACGCGGUGGACAUUGCCGUGGAGGGCACGCUGCGGAGGAUACGUGGGCGGGUGCGCGCUCUGGAGGAUGGCCGGCCGGAGGCCAUGUACGCCAUGGAGGACGACGACCAAGAGAUCUAG
Molecule: ribosomal RNA, 1440 nt
Filed under: Triticum aestivum (bread wheat)
Lineage: Eukaryota; Viridiplantae; Streptophyta; Magnoliopsida; Poales; Poaceae
Description: partial small subunit ribosomal RNA
Source: RNAcentral